UAUACAGUACAAAAGAGGAGAAGUUGUGAUCCAACCCUGCAGCCCCCACCUUGCCCAUUUUAAUCCCCCAAAUGCCAAAGGGGAUUCAAUUAUUGUAUCUAAGACCUCAGAACAGUCUCAUACUAAAUCAGAUCACCAACCCACCUAGCUUGGAAUUAUUAACUGCCAUAACUGAUAGCUGCCUCCUAGAUUUGGAUCUUUUCCAAAUCUAUAACUCCUGCAUCACAAGCUAUGGUCCUUUCCACCUCCAGAUAUCCAUCUAUGUUCGCAGCCUGAUUUUAAUACCUGAUGAAGCAAAUAUUCACCAACAAUGCUUCUAGUCCCUAAAGUGUCAUAAAUCCAUAAAGCAUUAAGCAACAUUAUAUGUACAAAGAACUUCCAUUCUUUAUGGUUUCAGCAAUGAAAAAUCCAGUUAAAGUGCCACCGAUUACAGAUAAUCAUACACUACCAACUCAUCUAAUCUGCUUGACCCAUGACCUAAUUGCAUAUUUCGAUAUGCCCUUGAAAAAGAAAUUGGUAAACAUAGCACUUUCCUUGUUAUCUACAAAACUUUCGUCUCAAUUAACGGUUGUUGCUACCUUUGAUAAGAAUGAUUCUGCCCUCAUCAAGAGCAUCUGGUUAGGAUAAUUUUGUCCAUAAUAUAUACUGUAAGAUAAUAUCUUACUCCUGUCUGCAUUCACGGGACUGAAUCUUCUUUGGAAGAUUGGAGAAGUAUUUGCUUCAUUCAUGAUGCUUCAGACAUAUUUUCAAUUAUGUAUUUUCAAUUAUACUGGCCAAAAUCAGUCUGGUCUCAUUUCUGCUUGCAUCGAUUUCCUCAUCAAUGCUUGCUCUUAAAACUACUGUAUAGGCUUUUAAAUAAAAGCCUGGAUUGAUCUGAAGCAUUUGGCAGACUUCAGCAUUCUGGUCAGCCGAGAGCUGCAGCAUAGAA
Crotalus tigris (Tiger rattlesnake) is the source of this 928-nucleotide long non-coding RNA. RefSeq lists it as uncharacterized. The record is from RefSeq and is a predicted model, not a curated record. The transcript is spliced from 3 exons. Lineage: Eukaryota; Metazoa; Chordata; Lepidosauria; Squamata; Viperidae.